GGGAAAGGGAGAUUGGGGCUACCGGGAGUUGUAGGAAUGGGCUAUUUGGGAUGAACGAAAGGGGAAUAAAAUUCUUCCCCAAACUGCACAUUCCUCUGAUUUCAGGUGGUUCCUCCCUUUCCAUUCCAUCUCUACAUGGGUUAUAUAUAUUCUACUGCCUUCAUUUGUAACCAGGCUGAUCGAGUACGAGGAGUGACUGGCGGCGGAGCUUGGAUCUUUCCUUUGGGGCCGGGACUAUAUAUGGCAUCUUCGUCCCUUGUCUUCUUCCGUUUCUCGCUGGUGACUAGCCAUGAGAGACUUUUGUUCCACGACACAGAGCGGUCGGGAGUUCUGUUCCAUCAUCCAUGCUUUGGCUAACUCAUAUUUUUAGGGGAUAUAAAUUCUUUUUCUCUCAAGAUUUUGGGCAGAUUGUUAAGUUAACGUUGGAAAUAUUAUAUGACUGGUUUUGUUUCUGAGAAGAUUAUUAAGGCGUGGUAGGCUAAGUUUACAAAAAACAUGCCAAUAUAACUUUUAAUUUAUUCA
Long non-coding RNA from Alnus glutinosa, 522 nucleotides. RefSeq lists it as uncharacterized. The record is from RefSeq and is a predicted model, not a curated record. Lineage: Eukaryota; Viridiplantae; Streptophyta; Magnoliopsida; Fagales; Betulaceae. The transcript has 2 exons.